Amphiprion ocellaris (clown anemonefish) is the source of this 1209-nucleotide long non-coding RNA. The record is from Ensembl. Lineage: Eukaryota; Metazoa; Chordata; Actinopteri; Pomacentridae.
ACAGCUCGCUAGCGGAUCUAGUCUGCUGUAUGUAUCUAUGGUGCGCACGUCUGCUAGCGUCUCUGGCUGCUGGAGACCUCGUUUUUGGAGUAAAACACGGUGGAAGCUGAAUUAGUGAGGAUGACUCCUGCUCCUGUCAUCUCUAAGCUCCUCACACAUCUUUACCUGCACAUGAGGAAAAUCACUCCUGUAGAAUGCAGUGGUUCAUCAGAACCUCUGGGGAUGUCCUGUGGAUUCUGUGGAUCCUGUGGGUUGCAGGGUGGGUCCUACCUAGACCAGGCUGAUCCUGGACCAUCCCACAGAUGCUCCAUCAGAUGUGGAUGUGGGGAGUGUGGAACCCAGGUGAACAGCUGAGCUCUGUCGUGUUCCUCGGACCACUCCUGUAGUAGCAGUUUUAAUUUGUCCUGCUGAGGGUGGCAGCUGGCAUCAAGGACUGCUGUUGCCAUGGAGACUAGGGGGUUGUUUGUCGUGCAGUGUUUAGGUGAUGGUACAUGUCAAACAUCCACAUGAACGUCAAGGUUUCCCAGCAGAACGUUGCAUUAGAACAAGAUGAUGGAUGUUGUUCUCUUCAGCUGUCAGUGGUCAGUCUGAGAUAUUAAGAAUAAAUAAAUGUGCAUAAUGUGGAAAUGAACAGAUUUUAUUUUUAUUUAUUCCUACAGCUGCUACAUGGAAAGUUCCAGAAUGUGGAGGAAUUUAGUCUCACAAUCACAGACAAUAAAUAUUAUCUGAAAGUCUGGUGAUUGUUGUUUAUCAGCACAAUACAAAAAGAUUCAUGUUAGAAAUAUUCCAGUUAAGACUCUAGAAUAUCAGGAUUUAUGUAAAUUUACCUCAAUAAUAUGAAUGUUCAGGUUAAGAUUGUACAGUGAUAUUUAUUAUGUAAGUUUAGCUGAUUAACGUUUAUGACUCUGCACUACAAUAUUAUUAUUUAAAUUGACAUCAUUAUUAUAAUAUUUAAGGUCAGACUCUACAGUAUUGAGAUUAAGAAAUCAAAUAUUCUAUAAAAUGUAAAUACACUGAACUAAUCUGGAUAUAUUUAAGUGAGACUCUACAAUAUUAUUUAUGACACAAAUCUAUCUAAAUCAAAAUUUUAAACAUUUUUACUCCAAACAUUGACUGGACUGAUUUAAAUAUUAAAAUCAUUCCUUUCUAAUCCUCUGCUGUACGUUCAAACCUGAGACCUUAAAUAAAAACACACAAGUAUCUGAUUGA